Molecule: non-coding RNA, 774 nt
Organism: Rattus norvegicus (Norway rat)
Lineage: Eukaryota; Metazoa; Chordata; Mammalia; Rodentia; Muridae
Source: RefSeq, a predicted model, not a curated record
UGUACCAGAGGAGUGUCCCCUUCAACAGUACAUAAUUAUCCAUUAACCAGAUAUUCUCCAAAUCAACAAGCCAAGUUGGCCUUUCCAGUACCUUUGCUGAGACACAAGGGAAGACUUUCCAUCACUCUACCUUCUAAAAAUGGAGAUAUGACUGAUUAAUUGAAUAUUUUCCCACCUUCAUGUACAGAUAUUGAAGCCUAAACUUGCAAACAAAGCCCAGAAAUUGUUCAUCCGGACCUUACUAUGCACACUGAAAAUGACAAUGAAGAAAGGAAGUUGAGAACUUAGGUCUCCAGUCUUUCCAAUUCUCCUCCAAAUGUUUUGGAGAAGACAUCUCUUGUCAAGGCGAGGUACGACAGGCCCCAUCAGACAAAGAGGGCUGCAAAAUUUCUACUUUUAAAGGCAUCUGCAGAUACAUUCAUUUGAGGAAUGAAUCCUUCUCACUGGAGACCAUAGACGGGACCUGCAUAUCAAUAAUAAACGUCACUUCAAGACAUCAAAGGAAAAUAUCAAAAUGAGAAUGGAAUAAAUUUAUUAGGACAGUGUUUUGCAAACAACAUCUUUCACAAACAGUCUUGGAAGGAGAGUUCUGAAAUUUUGCCUUUCAUAUUUGACUUUGCUGGUACUCUGACAGAAUCAACUCACAACUGUUUGUGACUUUAUGGACAAUUAAACACUACAAACAGAGCUGAAUGCAUCAUAUGUUCUGCCGUCUGUGUUAAUAUGGGUACAGUGAAGAACAAUUAUAAUAAAUCUAUUCAUCUCUUUUUCAAA